Molecule: ribosomal RNA, 406 nt
Filed under: uncultured bacterium
Lineage: Bacteria
Description: partial 16S ribosomal RNA
Rfam family: Bacterial small subunit ribosomal RNA
Source: RNAcentral
AUUGAACGCUUGCGGCAGGCCUAACACAUGCAAGUCUGGCGAGCGGCGGACGGGUGAGUAAUGUAUGGGGAUCUGCCUGAUGGAGGGGGAUAACUACUGGACACGGUAGCUCAUACCGCCUACCAUCAGCUUAACCCAUAUGGGAUUAGCUUGUAGGUGGGGUAACGGCUCACCUAGGCGACGAUCCCUAGCUGGUCUGAGAGGAUGCUCAGCCACACUGGGACUGAGACACGGCCCAGACUCCUACGGGAGGCAGUAGUGGGGAAUAUUGCACAAUGGGCGCAAGCCUGAUGCAGCCAUGCCGCGGGUAUGAAGAAGGCCUUCGGGUUGUAAAGUACUUUCAGUCGGGAGGCGUUACCGACAGAAGAAGCACCGGCUAACUCCGUGCCAGCCGCCGCGGUAAUUC